RNAcentral lists this ribosomal RNA (461 nucleotides) under Stygocapitella sp. 169_16. RNAcentral describes it as "partial large subunit ribosomal RNA". It matches the Rfam family "Bacterial large subunit ribosomal RNA", at positions 1808 to 2624 of the family's 2925-position model. The record is from RNAcentral. Lineage: Eukaryota; Metazoa; Annelida; Polychaeta; Parergodrilidae.
CAAAAACAUAGCCUACUAUUUAACUUAGGUACAACCCUGCCCUYUGACUUUUAACAGCCGCGGUAUCCUAACCGUGCUAAGGUAGCAUAAUCACUUGCCUAUUAAUUAUAGGCUAGAAUGAACGGGAUCACUCACUUAAACUUAUUUUUAUUUAAAUUUAAAUUAAACUUUAAGUCAAAAUACUAAAUUAAAAAGAAAGACAAAAAGACCCUGAAAACUAUUAGAAAUAAUUAGUUGGGGCAACUAUAGACCACUCUAGCGUCUAUUUUUUUUUAAACUCUUAAAAUCUAAAGUAUCCAGUUACUUCAGGGAUAACAGACUAAUUUUAUUAUUUAGACCCAAUAAAUAAUAAAGAUUGGCACCUCGAUGUUGGCUUAUAUUUCCUUCAUAUAGCAACAUAUAUAGAAGGCAGCUUGUUCAUCUGUUAAAUAUUUACAUGAGGUGAGUUCAAACCGGCGUAA